Molecule: long non-coding RNA, 714 nt
Filed under: Heterocephalus glaber (naked mole-rat)
Lineage: Eukaryota; Metazoa; Chordata; Mammalia; Rodentia; Bathyergidae
Description: lncRNA (ENSHGLG00000037729.1)
Source: RNAcentral
GAGCCUUCCCUCCCCCGCUCCCCCGGAAGUGCUUUUCCAGGGUUCGGGCCGGAGAGAGGCCUUGCGGACCCAGCCGCUGACGCUCCGUCGGCUCCGAAUAGGGGCUCCAGCCCGGGUCCGAGCGAGGAGGUCCGCGCCCGCCUACCCGCAGCCUGCGCCCUCCCAGCGUCCGGCCUGACGGACUCCCAGUGGCAGAAGUGAGUUGGAUGAUUGCCCUCAGAAGUCCAGGGAUGGUGGCCCAAAGUGUGUCUGCUAUAAAUUGAAAAGGCCUUGCUUCCUGAUCUCACUAAAUUGCUCAGGCAGGACUUGAACUUGGAAUAUUCCUACUUUAGCCUCCAUCAGUGCUGGGAUUACAGGUGUGUGCCACUGUGCCCAUUUUUUUUAUUUAUUUACUUGGGUUUUUUUUUGUUUGUUUGUUUGUUUUUGGUACGGGGGAUUGAACUUGAGUCCUUGCGAUUGCGCAGCAGGCAGCGAAACCACUGAGCUAAAUCCCCCGGCCAUAUUUAGUUAAUUUUUUGAGAUGGGGCGGGGGUCCUCCCCUUUGUAGUGAAGGCUGGCCUUGAACUCACUUUCUAGCCCAGACUGGCCUCAAACUCAUGGUGCUCCUCUAGCCUUCAGCCUCUGGAGUGUGAAGAUCACAGGCUACAGGUGUGCACCACAAUGAGCAGUUUUUGUUUUGAUUUUAAAGACCAAGGUUUGUGAAGUGAUUUGGGG